UACAGAGGUCUCAAGCGUUGUUCGGAUUCAUUGGGCGUAAAGGGUGUGUAGGUGGCGCGCUAAGUCGGGUGUGAAAUUUCGGAGCUUAACUCCGAAACUGCAUUUGAUACUGGCGUGCUUGAGGACUGGAGAGGAGACUGGAAUUCAUGGUGUAGCAGUGAAAUGCGUAGAGAUCAUGAGGAAGACCAGUGGCGAAGGCGGGUCUCUGGACAGUUCCUGACACUGAGACGAGAGCCAGGGGAGCAAACGGG
This 251-nucleotide ribosomal RNA is filed under the name uncultured bacterium. RNAcentral's name for it is "partial 16S ribosomal RNA". It matches the Rfam family "Bacterial small subunit ribosomal RNA", at positions 524 to 776 of the family's 1533-position model. The record is from RNAcentral.